UACGUAGGGCGCAAGCGUUGUCCGGAAUUAUUGGGCGUAAAGAGCUCGUAGGCGGUUUGUCACGUCGGCUGUGAAAACCCGAGGCUCAACCUCGGGCCUGCAGUCGAUACGGGUAGACUAGAGUGCUGUAGGGGAGACUGGAAUUCCUGGUGUAGCGAUGAAAUGCGCAGAUAUCAGGAGGAACACCCGUGGCGAAGGCGGCCUUCUGGGUCGACCCUGACGCUGAGGCGCGAAAGCGUGGGGAGCGAACGGG
Molecule: ribosomal RNA, 253 nt
Filed under: uncultured bacterium
Lineage: Bacteria
Description: partial 16S ribosomal RNA
Rfam family: Bacterial small subunit ribosomal RNA
Source: RNAcentral